Molecule: transfer RNA, 79 nt
Filed under: Roseibium sp. TrichSKD4
Lineage: Bacteria; Pseudomonadati; Pseudomonadota; Alphaproteobacteria; Hyphomicrobiales; Stappiaceae
Description: tRNA-Arg
Rfam family: tRNA
About the family: Transfer RNA (tRNA) molecules are approximately 80 nucleotides in length.
Source: RNAcentral
UGGCCCCGUAGCUCAGCAGGAUAGAGCAACGGAUUCCUAAUCCGUAGGUCGCGCGUUCGAAUCGCGCCGGGGUCACCAU